GCGGAAGUAGCUGGUAGUAGGCAGAGCGUAACGAUGCCAAGGUUAAGGUAACUCGUUCGAUUCUCGUCUUCCGCU
RNAcentral lists this transfer RNA (75 nucleotides) under Candidatus Tremblayella princeps. RNAcentral's name for it is "Candidatus Tremblaya princeps tRNA-Gly(GCC)". It matches the Rfam family "tRNA". From Rfam's summary of the family: Transfer RNA (tRNA) molecules are approximately 80 nucleotides in length. Lineage: Bacteria; Pseudomonadati; Pseudomonadota; Betaproteobacteria. The record is from RNAcentral.